Octopus sinensis (East Asian common octopus) is the source of this 154-nucleotide long non-coding RNA. RefSeq lists it as uncharacterized. The record is from RefSeq and is a predicted model, not a curated record. The transcript has 4 exons. NCBI's taxonomy places the organism in Eukaryota, Metazoa, Mollusca, Cephalopoda, Octopoda, Octopodidae.
UUCACUAUUAUUUAGUAGUCACAAGAAUAUUUCCCAGGUCUUUCGAGGAAAAAGACGAAGAAGGAAGUAAACUUCAAACUGGAGACUUGAGUCAGUGUCUUUAACAAUUUACGAAAGAGAUUGGAAAUCCUUAUAGGUUUCGAUGUCAAGUGAA